This 227-nucleotide long non-coding RNA is filed under the name Elaeis guineensis (African oil palm). RNAcentral describes it as "long non-coding RNA (EGUI_LNC048756)". Lineage: Eukaryota; Viridiplantae; Streptophyta; Magnoliopsida; Arecales; Arecaceae. The record is from RNAcentral.
GGUGUGAGUUCGUUAGCGAGCAGGUAGAUGAAAGUUGAACUAAAAUUAAAUCAUGAGAUAUCACAUACUUAGAGAAUGAUUUUUCUAGAAAAGACAAGAUAAAUAAGAGUCUUCAAUUUUUCGAGAUGGAAGAUCCUAAUAUUUAUGGUAUGCCUGUACAACAAGUUAAGGUGAAUGAGAAAUUGCCUCAACCUCAUAAACCUAAUGGAAGUCACAUAUUGCUGAGC